This 272-nucleotide long non-coding RNA is filed under the name Trifolium pratense (red clover). RNAcentral describes it as "long non-coding RNA (TPRA_LNC010710)". The record is from RNAcentral. Lineage: Eukaryota; Viridiplantae; Streptophyta; Magnoliopsida; Fabales; Fabaceae.
GACGACAAGCAAAAUCGAGAGACAAUACAUGAGUGGAUAUCACACAUAGAAGAAAAAGGAGUGUUUGGCUCAAUACCUCUCGGUUGGGUCGAAUCAAAGAACCGGUCAAAAAGUGUGCGUUCCCUUCCUUCGCCUCUUGAUCACAUGAGUGCAACAAGCUAUUGCACUGCAGGUUUCACAUAUCACACACGGAGAAAAUCAAGUAAUUGAUACUCAAGUAACUAGAAGGAACAUGCCAAAAUAUUGAAACAAACUCCAGAAGUAAAAACCAU